This 1162-nucleotide long non-coding RNA is filed under the name Homo sapiens (human). Its description in RNAcentral is "non-protein coding lnc-JAM2-8:2". The record is from RNAcentral. Lineage: Eukaryota; Metazoa; Chordata; Mammalia; Primates; Hominidae.
UACUGUCUUAGCUUGGGAUGCUAUAACGAAAUACUAUAGACUGUGUGGCUUAAACAACACAAAUUUAUUUCUCAGUUCUGGAAGCCAGGAAGUUCAAGAUCAAGAUGCCAAAACGUUUGAUUUCUGGUGAAGGCUCACUUCCUGAUUUGUAGACAACUGUCUUCUCACUGUAUUCUCACAUGGCAUAGAAAGCUGAGAGCUCUGGUCUCUUCCUGUUUUCAGAAGGACUCUAAUUUCAUCACAGCAGCUUUAUCCUCAUGGCUUUAUCUAUGCCUAAUAACCUCCAAAAACCCCUCCUGCAAAUACCAACACAUCAAGGGUUAGGACUUCAACAUACACAUGUUGACCAGAGAAACAAACAUUUAGCCUAUAACAAUGAUUUGGAUUUAUUUAUGGAGAAGGAAGCUAUAGAAGAAUAACUAAAAUGCAUAAAGGCAAAUUGAAUGUUCAAAGGGUAAGCAUGGGUCUGAUUGUUAAUAUCACUAUUAGCUCAGCUACAAAUGAGCAUCUGGAGCAAUAGCAUCUCUCUAGGUUUGAAGAGGUGAGCGGCGGUGCCUCAGCGAUCUCCUCUGCAGCAUAGGAAAUGAUGGCUGUUUCUUUCCGCUGGAAGCAUGGCCACGAAAGCCCUCCUCUGAAAGUGCUCUUGCUGUACUGACUUUGCUUGUCAACAAUGUGGCACUCCUCACUUAACAGACACUCCCUACAUCAGUAUUGGGUGUCCUCUGAAGGAAAACUGAAUCUUCCCCACCUCACUUUCCUCUUUAUGCCAUAACUGAGUUCCGGAAUGUGAAAGCCUACACUGCUGGAUCUGCUGUGUGGACUUGACCCUGACCAGGGAGCUCCAAAAACCGGUGAUGAUAACAUGAUGUAAUUGAGAGUGAAAGGAAGGCAACUGAGAGGAUAAGAGAACGUAAACAAGAGGUUACGGCACUAAAGAACCUUCAUGAAGCUAGGUCUCCAGAUUAAUCUACUGUCAGAUACUCGAGUCUUCAAGGUGAGAGAACAAGAGAUUAGGACGCAGACAACACAGACUUAAGAGGUGAUCAUGUGAGGAUACAGCAAUAAGAUGACCAUCUAUAAGCCAAAGAUAGGCCUCAGAAUGAAAUCAACCCUGUUGACACCUGAAUCUCCAGAACUGUGAGAAAUAAAUUUUCAUGGCCGU